GAAAUGCGAUAAGUAGUGUGAAUUGCAGACUUUAGUGAAUCAUCGAAUCUUUGAACGCAUAUUGCGCCUUUUGGAAUUCCAUUAGGCAUGCCUGUUCAAGCGUCAUAUCUUCUGUCAAGCCUUUGCUUGGUGUUGAGUGAUUGCCUUUAUGUACAAGGCUCGCUCUAAAAGAAUUGGCAGUUAGCCUACUAGCUUCUAGCACAGCACUUGUGUCUUGGGAGGCUAGCGUAGGCUGGCGUCCCAGCAAGAUCACCCUUUAGUUUGACCUUGAAUCAGGUAGGGAUACCCGCUGAACUUAAGC
This 301-nucleotide unclassified non-coding RNA is filed under the name plant metagenome. RNAcentral describes it as "partial contains 5.8S ribosomal RNA, internal transcribed spacer 2, and large subunit ribosomal RNA". The stretch from base 1 to 105 matches the Rfam family "5.8S ribosomal RNA", at positions 50 to 154 of the family's 154-position model. The record is from RNAcentral.